GAGAUGGGGAUAACCUUCCGAAAGGAGGGCUAAUACCGAAUGAGACCACAGUUACUCUGUAACAGCGGUCAAAGGUGGCCUCUACUUGUAAGCUAUCGCUUGGAGAUGAGCUUAUGCACCAUCAGCUAGUUGGUAGGGUAAUGGCCUACCAAGGCUUUGACGGUUAGCUGAUCUGAGAGGUUGAUCAGCCACACUGGAACUGAGACACGGUCCAG
RNAcentral lists this ribosomal RNA (215 nucleotides) under uncultured bacterium. RNAcentral's name for it is "partial 16S ribosomal RNA". It matches the Rfam family "Bacterial small subunit ribosomal RNA", at positions 134 to 334 of the family's 1533-position model. The record is from RNAcentral.